Molecule: long non-coding RNA, 1090 nt
Organism: Dermochelys coriacea (leatherback sea turtle)
Lineage: Eukaryota; Metazoa; Chordata; Testudines; Dermochelyidae
Exons: 2
Source: RefSeq, a predicted model, not a curated record
AUCUGGCAGAAAAUGGGAGCCCAGCAGAUGGUGAGCCCUGUUCUUCCUCCAUAAAACAUGCUGUGCUUGCUAGUUAAGGCAAAGAUUUCCAGUUGAGCUUAAGUCUGAAAGAAACCUGCUUCUUUGACUCAGGAAACAGGGGGUGUCCUAUUCCCAAACAUGAGAGACAGAGCUGAGCAGUUCCCAGGAAUGAGAAAGCUGUAGCUUAGAAAUCCUGAAGAAAGUCUACUACAGUCUUCCUAGAAGACUCUGAUGCUGCUUCAAGAAUCUUUGUCUGUUUUGUUUUUUCUUAAAUGUAAUUACCUGCAGCUAAAGGAGCCUGUGGAUGGGCAAGGGUGAAGGCUUAAGAGGGCUCCUUGACUUCCACUGGCUACUGUAUGUCCAGAACUUGACCUCUGGCCCAACAUACCUUCAUGGACCAUUUGAAAUGGAAGCGUUUCCAUAAUGAAGUUCUGGUUGAAGUUCUUGAAAGGGCUGACAAACAGAUCCAGUACAGCAGCAUGGAGGUGUAAGACUGGAAUGACAACAGGCUGAGAGGCAGAAGGAAAGGCUAAAACUCACUGCACAGCUGGAGGACAGGGUUUUAGCAAGGGAACAGUUCCUGGAAUAGAAAUGGUGGCUGAAGGAGGAAGACCAAGGUCAACGGAGAUAACUGUUGGAGUGAUUCAUCCCCAUCAUGGCUGGAAGAACACCGGCUCUAGCUGCCUCUCCCACAUCAAAGCCUGAUUCACCUGCAAUAUACCUUCAGUCCAUAAGUAGCUUGGACAACUCCAUGCAUUCAAGCAUCAUGAAUGGCUUGGCCCCAUUGCAGCCUUCCUUCUUGAACCUCUCCCCUGUGGAUACCUCCAUCGAUGACAAGUGUGCAGAAAGAAAGGAAAGGAGAAUGUGGGGCCAGGGGACAUGAAGCAGUAGGGGGUUUAUAUCAUGUUUGCACUGUAUUCUGCACUUUUAUUUUUUUAGUUUUUGUUUUGGAAAUGUUCUUCAGUGUCUUGUUUUGGGAUGUCUUAAUGGCAGCUGGCCUGCCUGGCAAUGGGUGACGGUUGUAUUGUUUUAACACACAUACAAAUAAAACCUUUUAUGUCAUCAUGAA